GGCAGCCAAUUUUAAGGCAUAUUCUGGGGUUGAUCAGGGGACCUUUAAGGUGCUCUCGGAUCUCAGUUCUUGGUCAGGGAGAUUGAUUGCUUCAGUGAUUGCUCCUGCAAAGGGGCAAGAACUGGUCGAGAUGGGGCUUCUGGGGUACCUCUGGCCCCUCUGAUGCCCAGUCAACAAAGGAAGGCAUGGACUUUUGCCUACCUUAGAUGUCUAUUUGAUAUGGGUCUGAGGCUGAUCCAAAUCAACCUCCAGCACUCACGAGCUGCUUCUGCCCUUUUGGGUCGGCUGCUCGUGGGGGGCUAUUAUGACUUUGCUCUCAUUCAAGAGCCAUGGCACUAUAAAGACCGAAUUUGGGGCUUCCCUGUAAGGAAGGUGAGUUGUUUUCUUUUUAAAUCUUGUACUUUUGAUAAUGGUCCUCGGAC
This 422-nucleotide long non-coding RNA is filed under the name Androctonus crassicauda. The record is from RNAcentral. Lineage: Eukaryota; Metazoa; Arthropoda; Arachnida; Scorpiones; Buthidae.